UACGGAGGGUGCAAGCGUUGUUCGGAAUCAUUGGGCGUAAAGGGCGCGUAGGCGGUCCUGUAAGUCGGAUGUGAAAGCCCCGGGCUCAACCCGGGAAGUGCAUCCGAAACUGCAGGACUUGAGUACGGGAGAGGGAAGUGGAAUUCCUGGUGUAGCGGUGAAAUGCGUAGAUAUCUGGAGGAACACCGGUGGCGAAGGCGGCAUCCUGGACCGGCAUUGACGCUGAGGAGCGUAAGCCAGGGGAGCAAAC
Molecule: ribosomal RNA, 250 nt
Filed under: uncultured bacterium
Lineage: Bacteria
Description: partial 16S ribosomal RNA
Rfam family: Bacterial small subunit ribosomal RNA
Source: RNAcentral